Molecule: long non-coding RNA, 929 nt
Organism: Tympanuchus pallidicinctus (lesser prairie-chicken)
Lineage: Eukaryota; Metazoa; Chordata; Aves; Galliformes; Phasianidae
Exons: 2
Source: RefSeq, a predicted model, not a curated record
GAGUGUUUGACACUUUAGGUAAAACAUUCAAAGACAUCUUUUUCUUCUACUGGAGUACCCCAUAAAAUCUGAAAAUAAGCCUUUUUUACUUUUGUAAGGUGUAAACUUAUAUGUAUAUACAUCUAGUUAUAUACAUAUGUAUAAACUAGACUAUUAAGGAGAAAAACAGCAUGCUAACAAUUUCAAGAACAAAAAAACUAGAAGCCUGAUUUCUACUUACUCUUUUCAGAUGCCCAAACACAUUCCAAUCAUAAGGAAAUCAAGUACUCUACAGAUUUCACUGGACUUACUACCAUUAAGACUUCUAUCAAGUUUGAUCAAAACCAGUCAAAGGUUUCAAAAGCCUUCAGAACAGAAGAGGGAGGUAACAGUGAAUGCAGUGGAACUGUCAUGUCACAGCCUGAAUCAGUAGUUGAGCACCAGUGGAUAGAGUUUGGAUUCUGCUGGAUUGGGAUCUACAGACAACACAUCCUAGAACUAUAAUUACAAUAGCUUUUCUCCAAAAUACUAUAGGAAAACUAUCAUUCUCACUAAGCAUCAUAAGCUUGUUGCAUCCCCUAGACAGCCACUGUGUUGCUUCAGUUCAUCUGCAACAUCCCAAACUCCUACAUGCCUUCGAAUAAUUUUAAGUCAUGGCAUGAUCCAAUACAAAUAAGGCCAAAUCACCACACUGCUCAGUGUAGAUUCUUUCUGUUGUUUAAUAAUCCCCAGCUACUUAUGCUAGAGCAAUGCUCAUCAGCUGGAGCUCAAAGUAAUAGACUGCCUGGCAUAAAACCAAAAGCUUGAAUACACAGCUUAGGAACCUUUAUGACUUCACUUGAAAUCUUGACUCACUCAGCUUUCUAUUUAGCCCACCAAAGAGCUCAAGAAGACUUGGAGAAACAUGAACAACAAUAAUUUAAUAUUGCAUUAAAAUCUGUUUACCAUUA